AAACUUCGAGUGCAACUUUUUCCCUUGGAAUGUGGAAAGAGGCUCAACCUCGUAGUUAAUGUUUAGUUUCUGAGCUGAGUAAAUGGACCCACGCUGCUGGCGACAGAAGGGAGGAUGCCAGUAGAAUGGGUGUGAGGAUUUAUUUAGCAAUCGGGUCCUGCUUUGUGGGCGUCUCUUAUAAGGCUUUCAUAUGAAAUUUAGAUUAUAAUUCCCUGCUCGGCUUUGAUGCUCUCUGUCCUGAUUAAAAUCACAUCAACCUUUCAGUCGCAUAAGAAGACCACAGCCUGGGUGCCCAUUUACAAAUUCUCCGAUUUUUGUGGAUGCAGAAUUUAAGAAGAUUUUGCUGCCUUUAAGGCGAAGAGAGGAGGGGAGCGCACCUCCGGCUGCGCUGCCGCCCGAGCCCUGCCCGUCGCGGCGAGCGGGCACCGCAGGGCCGAAGAGGAGAUGCCAGGGGAAGCCGGGCGCUCCCCACCUUUCACUCAUAGCCGCAGAGAGAGCGAGGGAGAGAAAAUUGCCACAGACCAGGGCUGCUCAUCGCUCCAGCGGCUCUCCAGGCUUCCCGAAGGGAGCGAGGGUCUGCCGCGGAGCCUUUGCGGGGAUCGAUGUGGAGCCACCAGCCCCACUAUACGCCUGAUGCGUGUGCUAGGAAAAAAAGCCCCACGGAGCCUGGAAAAAGCCCGAAUCUUUUCCCCAGGCAUGACCGCGUCCCCGCCUUGCGCGGAGCGGCAGGAGAAGGCUCCGCUGCGUGGAGGGAUGGCUGCGCCCUACAUGUCUCCCCUACCGCAUCCCUGGGUUCAGCAGAGGAAACGGGGCCGGCCUUUUAACUCCUAACAGCACCCGGGGAAAAAUCAACUCCCCUGGCGCUGCGCAGGAGCAAGCCAGCUCCAGACUGGGCAGCCCAGCCGCUGCGGGCUGAGCAGGACCGGAUGGGAUGACGGGCGGGUGGGGGCAAGGUUUGCAGGCAGAUUUUAAUAUUAAUAGUUUUGGUGGCGAGAAAGAGACAGACAGAAGGGAGGUUGCUCCUCUGGGCAGAGUCUCUGCGACACUGAUGAUGGAUGACCCCGCACGGCUAAACAACUCCUCCCCUUCAUCCCCACACAGUGUCAAAGCUACUUUACUUGCAGCUUUAGGAAUAAAAAAAUAAAUAAACACCUUCA
RNAcentral lists this long non-coding RNA (1157 nucleotides) under Lonchura striata (white-rumped munia). Its description in RNAcentral is "domestica (Bengalese finch) lncRNA (ENSLSDG00000000052.1)". Lineage: Eukaryota; Metazoa; Chordata; Aves; Passeriformes; Estrildidae. The record is from RNAcentral.